UACGAAGGGGGCUAGCGUUGUUCGGAUUUACUGGGCGUAAAGCGCACGUAGGCGGAUUGGUCAGUUAGGGGUGAAAUCCUGGAGCUCAACUCCAGAACUGCCUUUAAUACUGCCAGUCUCGAGUCCGGAAGAGGUAAGUGGAACUCCUAGUGUAGAGGUGGAAUUCGUAGAUAUUAGGAAGAACACCAGUGGCGAAGGCGGCUUACUGGUCCGGUACUGACGCUGAGGCGCGAAAGCGUGGGGAGCAAACAGG
Molecule: ribosomal RNA, 253 nt
Filed under: uncultured bacterium
Lineage: Bacteria
Description: partial 16S ribosomal RNA
Rfam family: Bacterial small subunit ribosomal RNA
Source: RNAcentral